UACGGGGGGGGCAAGCGUUGUUCGGAAUUACUGGGCGUAAAGGGCUCGUAGGCGGCCAACUAAGUCGGACGUGAAAUCCCCAGGCUCAACCUGGGAACUGCGUCCGAUACUGGAUGGCUUGAAUUCGGGAGAGGGAUGCAGAAUUGCAGGUGUAGCGGUGAAAUGCGUAGAUAUGUGGAGGAACACCGAUGGCGAAGGCAGCCCCCUGGGUCGAUACUGACGCUGAUGCGCGAAAGCGUGGGGAGCAAACAGG
This 253-nucleotide ribosomal RNA is filed under the name uncultured bacterium. RNAcentral's name for it is "partial 16S ribosomal RNA". It matches the Rfam family "Bacterial small subunit ribosomal RNA", at positions 524 to 776 of the family's 1533-position model. The record is from RNAcentral.